ACAAUAAGUAAGUAAAACAACAAUUAGUUAAUAUGUUAAAAAAAUAUCAAUUUCUAACACUGCAAGUAACAAUAGUUACAACUGUUGUGAAUUUCUAUUUUUAAUGUUGGUUGCGACGGUUUCAACUAUCGUGACUGUGAAGACUGUAAUUUUAAUUAUUAAUUCUAAAUAUAAUUAUUUGAUAUGAUUAUUAUUAGUUAUUUAAAUUUUACUUUUAACAACAGUUUAAA
This 230-nucleotide long non-coding RNA is filed under the name Lathyrus oleraceus (garden pea). Its description in RNAcentral is "Pisum sativum (pea) long non-coding RNA (PSAT_LNC013133)". Lineage: Eukaryota; Viridiplantae; Streptophyta; Magnoliopsida; Fabales; Fabaceae. The record is from RNAcentral.